This 443-nucleotide long non-coding RNA is filed under the name Populus trichocarpa (black cottonwood). RNAcentral describes it as "long non-coding RNA (PTRI_LNC002498)". The record is from RNAcentral. Lineage: Eukaryota; Viridiplantae; Streptophyta; Magnoliopsida; Malpighiales; Salicaceae.
UUUGAUCCAAUGAAUUAGAUUGACACACUGUUAGGAAUGCCCUUGCCGGUGAGUCCACCCUCUCUGGAGUAAUCUGUGGUGUUAGGAAAGAGUAAAGUGUAAGGAACUUGUACAGGCCCAACUCUGUUUUUCCAUCUCUUGUCAUUGUUCAUAUCCAUGAUUUUGUUUUCAAUUUCUACCAGCUUCCUUCCAAAUCUCUCAAAUGCUGCCAGCAGUUCACUAUCUGAAGUCCACUCGGGAGUAUCUCUCUGUCCAAGGUAAACCUCAUCAGUCGAAUGUCUUGAUAAAAUCUCAAUCAGUGAUACACCGAGUAGGGUUUGUAGCUGGGCUGUGAUUGUUUUCAGGAAGGCUACAUCUGGAUUUUUCGCAAGCUCAUCGUACUCAGGGGUCCCUGGCUCAGGCAUGAAUCGACGGCUUAUGGUGGGGCGGUUAGGGAGGUAGCC